RNAcentral lists this ribosomal RNA (843 nucleotides) under Micrococcus sp. B205-L3. RNAcentral describes it as "bacterial SSU rRNA". It matches the Rfam family "Bacterial small subunit ribosomal RNA", at positions 51 to 906 of the family's 1533-position model. The record is from RNAcentral. Lineage: Bacteria; Bacillati; Actinomycetota; Actinomycetes; Micrococcales; Micrococcaceae.
ACACAUGCAAGUCGAACGAUGAAGCCCAGCUUGCUGGGUGGAUUAGUGGCGAACGGGUGAGUAACACGUGAGUAACCUGCCCUUAACUCUGGGAUAAGCCUGGGAAACUGGGUCUAAUACCGGAUAGGAGCGCCUACCGCAUGGUGGGUGUUGGAAAGAUUUAUCGGUUUUGGAUGGACUCGCGGCCUAUCAGCUUGUUGGUGAGGUAAUGGCUCACCAAGGCGACGACGGGUAGCCGGCCUGAGAGGGUGACCGGCCACACUGGGACUGAGACACGGCCCAGACUCCUACGGGAGGCAGCAGUGGGGAAUAUUGCACAAUGGGCGAAAGCCUGAUGCAGCGACGCCGCGUGAGGGAUGACGGCCUUCGGGUUGUAAACCUCUUUCAGUAGGGAAGAAGCGAAAGUGACGGUACCUGCAGAAGAAGCACCGGCUAACUACGUGCCAGCAGCCGCGGUAAUACGUAGGGUGCGAGCGUUAUCCGGAAUUAUUGGGCGUAAAGAGCUCGUAGGCGGUUUGUCGCGUCUGUCGUGAAAGUCCGGGGCUUAACCCCGGAUCUGCGGUGGGUACGGGCAGACUAGAGUGCAGUAGGGGAGACUGGAAUUCCUGGUGUAGCGGUGGAAUGCGCAGAUAUCAGGAGGAACACCGAUGGCGAAGGCAGGUCUCUGGGCUGUAACUGACGCUGAGGAGCGAAAGCAUGGGGAGCGAACAGGAUUAGAUACCCUGGUAGUCCAUGCCGUAAACGUUGGGCACUAGGUGUGGGGACCAUUCCACGGUUUCCGCGCCGCAGCUAACGCAUUAAGUGCCCCGCCUGGGGAGUACGGCCGCAAGGCUAAACUCAAAG